Molecule: ribosomal RNA, 253 nt
Filed under: uncultured bacterium
Lineage: Bacteria
Description: partial 16S ribosomal RNA
Rfam family: Bacterial small subunit ribosomal RNA
Source: RNAcentral
UACGAGGGGGGCAAGUGUUGUUCGGAAUCACUGGGCGUAAAGGGCGCGUAGGCGGCUCAUGAAGGCUGUGGUGAAAGUCCGGGGCUCAACCUCGGAUCGGCCGUGGCGACUCGUGGGCUGGAGCACUGUAGAGGCGGGUGGAAUUCCGGGUGUAGCGGUGGAAUGCGUAGAGAUCCGGAAGAACACCAGUGGCGAAGGCGGCCCGCUGGGCAGUGGCUGACGCUGAGGCGCGACAGCGUGGGGAGCAAACAGG